This 2135-nucleotide long non-coding RNA is filed under the name Gallus gallus (chicken). RNAcentral's name for it is "lncRNA (ENSGALG00010012728.1)". Lineage: Eukaryota; Metazoa; Chordata; Aves; Galliformes; Phasianidae. The record is from RNAcentral.
AAUUUAAGCUCCAGAUCCAGCUAGAUCUGUCCCUAGGCUGAUUUACUCCUGGAGGAUCAGGGGAUGGCCUGCAAGGUGUCCUGGGCUCGUUGCCAUUUCCAUUUGUCUCCCAGCCCUUCAUGUGGGGCAGCACUGGGGGGCAGCUGAGCUCAGUGCUACCCUCAGCCCCUUCUGCUCGGUCUGCAUGUGUUCCCAUUAGGGGCGAAACACAGCACAGACUGCACUGAGAUUUCUGCUGGGGGGUUUAAGAAGGCAGAAAAUACAUCAGUGGGGAAUAUAUAUACAUAUAUAUAUAUGUAUGUGUGUGUAUGCAUAUAUAUAUACACACGUAUAAAUGCAUAGGACAGCUGCUUUAGUUGAUGGGAACUAUGUGAAAAGUGCUGGGAUUUCCUAAGCCCUUCCCUAAGGGCUGUGCAUGUAAUACAGUGAAGAAAGAUUGUAUAUUUAAAGGGGGUCAAAAGGAGAGGCAGCCAGGAGAGCUUGGGAGAAAAACAGGCUGCUCCUGGAGUGUUUGGGGUGGGUGUUUGGGCUGUAGGGACGUUUCCAUGAGGUCUGGCUGGGGUCUGUUAGUGUUGGAGCAUCGCCCCUCCACGGUCUGUGAGGCGCCAGAGGGUGCUCGUGCACCGCAGUGCAGAGCUGUCCUCUUCCUCAGCCAUUUUAAACCGAAUGUUUUCCUCUCCUGCAGUCUCCAUUUUAUGUUUCCAGUGCAGAAAAUAGAACAGGGAUUACUGGGGGAGGAAGGGAAGGGGGGGAGAGGUGCCGAGGCAAAGCCCAGCGCUGGGGGAGGGCGGGUAUGGGACGGUGUGAGGGGCUCCCUUGGGAGGAUGCUGGAAGUGGGCUCUGCAGGGAUGCUCUGCUUUAUCCCCCUGCCAGCCCCGAGCCCUCCCCGUGCUGCUUCAGAGUGUGGCAUCACUUUUUGGCCCUCAUCUCUGCACCCAGCUGGGCGCAUCACCGCAGGCCCUAUGGGAUCUGCAGGGCUGCUCCUGCCUGCCUUCCCUCUUUCCUUGCUGAGGAUGCUGAGUUCUGUUCUCGUCCCGUUUCCUCCCUGCCCACGCGUGCUGGGUGGGAUGUUGUCCCAGGUUUGUUACCAGCACGUCACCUUUCCCAGCUGCACGGAAAGCCCCGCGAGAACCUCCAGCAUGCAAUAGCUGAGUGCUUGUUGGCAUGGCCUCUAUUUCUAGGAACUGCCCUUUAUCAUCACUGUGCAGCACAGGGGGGGCCAGGCAGGCAUUUCUCAAUCCGGGAUAUGAAGCAAACUCUGCAUUCGUUUCCAGAAGGGAAUAUCAUGGAGCAGACCCAAAGGGCAGCUCCUAACCCCUGGGUUACGUGUGCAGCAAUGGCAGCUGGUGUCGCAGUGUCCAGCUGACCCCACAGCAGCCGUGCACAAAGAGGCUUCUCAGGAAGAUGAUAAACAUCCUAAGAACUGCUGUGGCUUCUGGAGACGCUCACAUCAGUGUCUUUUCCUUUAAACAUCCUGAGCUGAAGGGCCCUUUGCCUCUGAUGUCAUUCGUGCCCACACAGCCGAAAAUAGGGAGAAAGGAAGUGUGGAAGAGAAGAGGAUACUGUGUGCAAAGCUGGCAAAAGAGGAGGCAUAGGAGGAGUGCAGGAGAGCAGCUGGUGGAGGUGAAUGCAGCUGUAAGAUGCAGUUGGGUGUCUGAGACAGCAGAAGAGUUGGGCUGAAUGCAAAGUUACGCCAAUAAUGUGCAGGUUGGAUUCCUGGGGAUGGAAGCUUGGGGGUACCGUGGGUAUGGCUCUGCUUUGCUGGUGGGAUGGAUCCCAAGAGCAGCAAGUGGAGGGUUUGCCUGCAGAGCCCUGAGGGGUUGGGCGUCACUGUAUGCCCCCUUCCAUCCAUGUGCUCUGAGAGCACUGACCAAACUUGAGGGCCUUCUUAAGUAGCCCCUCACCUAAAUAAAGUGCAGCAAUUCACGUGAUGCACCAAAAGCCGUGUGACCAACUGGGCAGCCAGUUGGUGCUGUGGUCCCCUGCUCCAUUUCCUCCCUUGCUGUUUGGGAGGCCUGGUGGGUAUCAGCCCUCCUCUCCUUGCUUUCCAAACAGUCACGCUGUGCUCUGCUCUGCUCAUGCAGGCGUCUGGCAUCAGGCUGCUCUCUUCCAGCCCCAUCAGUUUCAGAUUUCAU